CCUACGGGAGGCAGCAGUGAGGAAUAUUGGUCAAUGGACGAGAGUCUGAACCAGCCAAGUAGCGUGAAGGAUGACUGCCCUAUGGGUUGUAAACUUCUUUUAUAAAGGAAUAAAACGAGGCACGGGUGCCUUUUUUCAUGUACUUUAUGAAUAAGGAUCGGCUAACUCCGGGCCAGCAGCCGCGGUAAAACGGAGGAUCCGAGCGUUAUCCGGAUUUGUUGGGUUUAAAGGGAGCGUAGAUGGGUUGUUAAGUCAGUUGUGAAAGUUUGCGUCUCAAGCGUAAAAUUGCAAUUGAUACUGGCAGUCUUGAGUACAGUUGAGGUAGGCGGAACUCGUGGUGUAGCGGUGAAAUGCUUAGAUAUCACGAAGAACCCCGAUUGCGAAGGCAGCUUACUAAACUGUGACUGACAUUGAUGCUCGAAAGUGUGGGUAUCAAACAGGAUUAGAUACCCUUGUAGUC
Molecule: ribosomal RNA, 460 nt
Filed under: uncultured bacterium
Lineage: Bacteria
Description: partial 16S ribosomal RNA
Rfam family: Bacterial small subunit ribosomal RNA
Source: RNAcentral